GCUAACCACGGGCUGUGGGCCAGGAAUGGGCAGGCAGUCCACGACAGAAGCGUGAGUGACCGAGUGUCCACAGUGGGCAAUAAUCCUGCCGGGCACCUCUGGGACCUCACAUCUCAGAGUUACUCUCACCCCUGGACGGAGCUACUGGGGCAGUCAGCUCUCCACCAGCCUAACCCCUUGAUGCAGAUUCUGGAGGCCACAGAAUGCCCUGAGGCCCAGAGUCGCGUAGGCUGGCAUGGGACUGGUGCUCGAAGCAGGAUCAUCCUGCCUUGUCCCUGGUUCUGCAGGCAGGCCAGGAGCUGCUUUAACACUCUGGCCUAGGAACUCUGCAGACCAGGGAGAUGCCGCCGGAGUUUCGGUGGAAUGAAAUUCUCCCCUCCUGGUUUAUGCGGUCACGCUCACAGAAUGGAAGAAGGAUUCUUCGUGGUAACAUCAUUUCACCAGCACAGUGAUACACACACACCCGGACACCAGAUGCAAAGCCCCGCUCACGGAAACGCACGCACAGAAAGACAAACGGGCUCCGAGACACCGGCGUCCACACAAGGUCACGGGCCCUCGCGCACACGCAAACGCUACUGUCUCUACGCAGAGGGGAGCCCUGAUGUGGAUGAAGGAGACAGACCGAGACAAGCUGCUCUCGAGGAAGCGAUCUCACUGGCAUCA
Tupaia belangeri chinensis (Chinese tree shrew) is the source of this 666-nucleotide long non-coding RNA. RefSeq lists it as uncharacterized. The record is from RefSeq and is a predicted model, not a curated record. The transcript has 3 exons. Lineage: Eukaryota; Metazoa; Chordata; Mammalia; Scandentia; Tupaiidae.